Long non-coding RNA from Chinchilla lanigera (long-tailed chinchilla), 575 nucleotides. RefSeq lists it as uncharacterized. NCBI's taxonomy places the organism in Eukaryota, Metazoa, Chordata, Mammalia, Rodentia, Chinchillidae. The transcript is spliced from 3 exons. The record is from RefSeq and is a predicted model, not a curated record.
GUCGCACUUCCUGUGGGAACGCCCCCACUGCUCUGCCUGCCGCACUUCCUGUGGGAACGCCCCCACUGCUCUGCCUGCCGCACUUCCUGUGGGAACGCCCCCACUGCUCUGCCUGUUGCACUUCCGGUGGGAACGCCCCCACUACCCUACGUGCCGAACUUCCGGAACCCCAGGAUCUUUCUAAAGGCGCACUGCGCAUGCGUCAGCGCAGGCGCAGCCGUCGAAGUCUGUCGUCUACGCGGCCAGCUAGCAACAGUUUGCUUUGACCUAUACUUUAUCAUUUCUCAGUGUCCUACCCACCGUCUUCGAAUGACCAGAGGCUGCAUGACGGAUCACCUUAAUUUGUAUCUAGCUGUUGCUAAGCUAUCACCAUGGUAUCACGACACCUUGGGCAAACAUAGAUGCCGAAAAUCAAAUGUGUAGGAAGAAAAAUUUGUCCCUGGUCCCCUCACCUCUUCUGUCAUCUGGAUGAGUAGUUCCGUGUUAAAUCUGUUUCACAGCUGCUUCACAGCCAUAACAAAACAAAGCAUGCUUGGAAACCAAAUUAGUGUAUCCCAUAAAACUAUAAUAGAGUC